Molecule: ribosomal RNA, 37 nt
Filed under: Ascaris lumbricoides (common roundworm)
Lineage: Eukaryota; Metazoa; Nematoda; Chromadorea; Rhabditida; Ascarididae
Also listed under: 1 other name
Description: partial 5.8S ribosomal RNA
Source: RNAcentral
CAAAUCUUAGCGGUGGAUCACUCGGUUCGUGGAUCGA